This 255-nucleotide long non-coding RNA is filed under the name Mytilus galloprovincialis (Mediterranean mussel). The record is from RNAcentral. Lineage: Eukaryota; Metazoa; Mollusca; Bivalvia; Mytilida; Mytilidae.
CUGACAACUCACUUAUCAACGAAAAGGAUUUAAACCCCUCUGAAUAAAGGUCUGCCAACUCGCCCAACUUAUAAAAAUAUCAUAUGCUUCCUUUAAGUAUGUUAAAUUACUGAUAGUUCGUAUCCAGUCGUCGUGGUGUAGUGGUAUGUGUGUUGGCUUGAUAUGCUAAAGGUCUUGAGUUCUAAUCUCAGCAUAAACACUGGAUUUUUUCUACGUAAAUUUUGAUAGAUAGUCUUUUCCGUAUAAUUGAUUAUA